Molecule: ribosomal RNA, 750 nt
Filed under: uncultured fungus
Lineage: Eukaryota; Fungi
Description: eukaryotic LSU rRNA
Rfam family: Eukaryotic large subunit ribosomal RNA
Source: RNAcentral
GCAUAUCAAUAAGCGGAGGAAAAAGAAAAUAACAAUGAUUCCCUUAGUAACGGCGAGUGAAGGGGGAAAAGCUCAAAUUUUAAAUCUGUUAGGUUGUACCUGCCAGAGUUGUAUUUUGAAGAAGCGUUUUCCGUGUCAUGGUUGGUCCAAGUCCUUUGGGAUAAGGCAUCAUGGAGGGUGAGAAUCCCGUUCGGCUGACCUUUUUGACGCUUUACGAUACGCUUUCAAAGAGUCGAGUUGUUUGGGAUUGCAGCUCAAAAUGGGAGGUAAAUUUCUCCUAAGGCUAAAUAUUGGCGAGAGACCGAUAGCGAACAAGUACCGUGAGGGAAAGAUGAAAAGUACUUUGAAAAGAGAGUAAAAUAGUACGUGAAAUUGUUGAAAGGGAAACGAUUGAAGUCAGUCGUACCGACGAGAAAUCAGCUCUUUGGGUGCGAACUUGUGGGCGUGUGUGAGCUUUAAAACCUCGCUGUUUGCAACGUUUGUGCUUUUUGGGUGUACUUUUUCGUAUGGUAGGCCAACGUCAGUUUUGGUUGCUAUAAAAUGACCGGAGGAAUGUAGCUUCGAUCUCGUAUUGAAGUGUUACAGCCUCUGGUAGAUGUGGUGAUUGAUACUGAGGAUUGCAACGAAUACCUUUUGGGCUAUCCGUCUGACCUCUGAAAGUUGCUUAGGUGCCGAAAGCAUGCUUACGGUUAUUUAAGUUAACGGUCAAUAGGUUAGAACGUGAUUAUAUUCGUUAAGGAUGUUGACGUA